This 492-nucleotide ribosomal RNA is filed under the name uncultured bacterium. RNAcentral's name for it is "partial 16S ribosomal RNA". It matches the Rfam family "Bacterial small subunit ribosomal RNA", at positions 29 to 507 of the family's 1533-position model. The record is from RNAcentral.
AGUGAACGCUGGCGGUAGGCCUAACACAUGCCAGUCGAACGGCAGCACAGUAAGAGCUUGCUCUUACGGGUGGCGAGUGGCGGACGGGUGAGGAAUACAUCGGAAUCUACUUUUUCGUGGGGGAUAACGUAGGGAAACUUACGCUAAUACCGCAUACGACCUACGGGUGAAAGCAGGGGAUCUUCGGACCUUGCGCGAUUGAAUGAGCCGAUGUCGGAUUAGCUAGUUGGCGGGGUAACGGCCCACCAAGGCGACGAUCCGUAGCUGGUCUGAGAGGAUGAUCAGCCACACUGGAACUGAGACACGGUCCAGACUCCUACGGGAGGCAGCAGUGGGGAAUAUUGGACAAUGGGCGCAAGCCUGAUCCAGCCAUACCGCGUGGGUGAAGAAGGCCUUCGGGUUGUAAAGCCCUUUUGUUGGGAAAGAAAAGCAGCAGGUUAAUACCCCGCUGUUCUGACGGUACCCAAAGAAUAAGCACCGGCUAACUUCGUG